GAUGAACGCUGGCGGCGCGCCUAACACAUGCAAGUCGAACGAUUAAAGCACCUUCGGGUGUGUAUAAAGUGGCGAACGGCUGAGUAACACGUGUGCAACCUGCCCCUUUCAUUGGGAUAGCCCCGGUAAACCGUGGAUAAUACCGAAUACUUCGAGACUUCCGCAUGGAAGACUCGAGAAAGCUCCGGCGGAGAGGGAUGGGCCCGCGGCCUGUUAGCUUGUUGGUGGGGUAACGGCCUACCAAGGCAAUGAUGGGUAGCUGGGUUGAGAGACCGACCAGCCAGAUUGCGACUGAGACGCGGCCCAGACUCCUCCGGUACGCAGCAGUGCAGAAUCUUGCACAAUGGGCUGAACCCUGAUGCAGCGACGCCGCGUGCGGGAUGAAGGCCUUCGGGUUGUAAACCGCUUUCAGCAGGGACGAGGCGAAAGUGACGGUACCUGAAGAAGAAGCCCCGGCUAACUACGUG
RNAcentral lists this ribosomal RNA (467 nucleotides) under uncultured bacterium. RNAcentral's name for it is "partial 16S ribosomal RNA". It matches the Rfam family "Bacterial small subunit ribosomal RNA", at positions 28 to 507 of the family's 1533-position model. The record is from RNAcentral.